This is a long non-coding RNA of Syngnathus typhle (broad-nosed pipefish), 1044 nucleotides long. RefSeq lists it as uncharacterized. The record is from RefSeq and is a predicted model, not a curated record. Lineage: Eukaryota; Metazoa; Chordata; Actinopteri; Syngnathiformes; Syngnathidae. The transcript is spliced from 2 exons.
CAGCAACCUGGCUGUAAAACUGCAGGGAGGUAGCAAGGGGUUCGUGCUUGGGGGGUUGCGCUCACCAUACUGUCUCGGGUUAAUGAGUCUACUCAAUGACUUACUUACGUAAUAAACCAGGGCAGUCUGAUCCACCGUGCUUCCACGGGAGGGUGAAUGGAGCUUGUUUUGUAGGGCUGUGUCAACAACUACUCAGGGAACACGCUGGAGGACAACUUCGCUGGAUUUAGACGCGACUGACGUCAAUAAUGACAUGGAUUCUUGGACACGAGGACAAGUGAGGAAAUGUGACAGUACACAUAGAACUUGGAUAAUUAAAUUGCCACAUUACUUUGAAAGGAUGUUCAGAAACCCGAUGGAGUAUUUUUUUGUACAUUUGCAACAAUGUCAUCUUGUUUAUUAAAAUGACAAUAUAUACAUCUUACACCUAAAUGUUGAAUCUAAAGAUCACUGAUGAAGCUCCUCCCCUGAGUUCAACGUGGGAACUUGGCAUCAGUACACCACUAGAUGGCGCCAAGCCAAUAUUAUAUUACCCUCAAUUAUGUAUGCAGUUUUUAAAAUGACAAUUAUUUUGUGGACCCCCAAGCUACGGCUCACGGAACCUUUAGGAGUCCCCAGAGCCCAGUUUCCCAACCCCUAGUUUAAAAAAAUAUAAAUCCGUAACUCCGCCCUACAAUAACAAGCAUUCCAGGGAGCUCAAGGCCUGCUGCAACCUGAUCCUUCCUCCCUUUGCUCUCUCUUUUCAAUGGACGCACCCCUGCAAGCAUAUGCAUGCUACGUGCAGGAUGAGCCGUGCUGUGCAUGUGGUGCACACUGUCCCCUCCCCCUGCCUGACGUCACAGUUGGAGUCACUUUUACACGAUUUUGGGCCAUCUGUGAGUCUAACAUGUUUUCUUUUGGAAGAUGUCGGAGUACCUGCAGAAAAACAACACAGGCAAAGGAAGAACAUGCAAACUUCAGCUUUAUUUGUUGACCAAAUAUGAUUCCUUGUCCCAAAUGCCUAAACCUUGAAAUAAAAAAAUGGAGUCAGUAAAUCUCUCUGGA